This 482-nucleotide ribosomal RNA is filed under the name uncultured bacterium. RNAcentral's name for it is "bacterial SSU rRNA". It matches the Rfam family "Bacterial small subunit ribosomal RNA", at positions 29 to 523 of the family's 1533-position model. The record is from RNAcentral.
AACAAACGCUGGCGGCGUGCCUAAUACAUGCAAGUCGAACGGGGAAAGUUCUUCGGAAUGAGUACUAGUGGCGUACGGGUGAGCAACACGUGGAUAAUCUUCCUUCAGGUGGGGAAUAACGAGUCGAAAGAUUCGCUAAUACCGCAUAAGACCACAGUAACUUUGGUUACAGGGGUUAAAGACUUCGGUCGCCUUUAGAUGAGUCUGCGUCCGAUUAGCUAGUUGGUGAGGUAAUGGCUCACCAAGGCGACGAUCGGUAACUGGUCUGAGAGGACGGCCAGUCACACUGGGACUGAGACACGGCCCAGACUCCUACGGGAGGCAGCAGUAGGGAAUUUUGCACAAUGGAGGAAACUCUGAUGCAGCGACGCCGCGUGAGUGAUGAAGGCCUUCGGGUCGUAAAGCUCUGUUCUCAGGGAAUAAAAAAUAGAAGGUACCUGAGGAGAAAGGACCGGCUAACUUCGUGCCAGCAGCCGCGGUAA